AUUGAACGCUGGCGGAAUGCUUUACACAUGCAAGUCGAACGGCAGCACGGACUUCGGUCUGGUGGCGAGUGGCGAACGGGUGAGUAAUGUAUCGGAACGUGCCCAGUCGUGGGGGAUAACGUAGUGAAAAUUACGCUAAUACCGCAUACGAUCUAUGGAUGAAAGCGGGGGAUCGCAAGACCUCGCGCGAUUGGAGCGGCCGAUAUCAGAUUAGGUAGUUGGUGGGGUAAAGGCCCACCAAGCCAACGAUCUGUAGCUGGUCUUAGAGGACGGCCCGCCACACUGGAACUGAGACACGGUCCAGACUCCUACGGGAGGCAGCAGUGGGGAAUUUUGGACAAUGGGCGAAAGCCUGAUCCAGCCAUUCCGCGUGCAGGAUGAAGGCCCUCGGGUUGUAAACUGCUUUUGUACAGAACGAAAAGGUUUCUACUAAUACUAGGAGCUCAUGACGGUACUGUAAGAAUAAGCACCGGCUAACUACGUGCCAGCCGCCGCGGUAA
This 500-nucleotide ribosomal RNA is filed under the name uncultured bacterium. Its description in RNAcentral is "partial 16S ribosomal RNA". It matches the Rfam family "Bacterial small subunit ribosomal RNA", at positions 30 to 523 of the family's 1533-position model. The record is from RNAcentral.